Molecule: ribosomal RNA, 253 nt
Filed under: uncultured microorganism
Description: partial 16S ribosomal RNA
Rfam family: Bacterial small subunit ribosomal RNA
Source: RNAcentral
UACGUAGGGUGCGAGCGUUAAUCGGAUUUACUGGGCGUAAAGCGUGCGCAGGCGGCCCGUUAAGACAGGUGUGAAAUCCCUGGGCUCAACCUAGGAAUUGCGCUUGUGACUGGCGGGCUCGAGUACGGUAGAGGGGGGUGGAAUUCCUGGUGUAGCAGUGAAAUCCGUAGAUAUCAGGAGGAACACCGAUGGCGAAGGCAGCCCCCUGGGCCUGUACUGACGCUCAUGCACGAAAGCGUGGGGAGCAAACAGG